UACAGAGGUCUCAAGCGUUGUUCGGAAUCACUGGGCGUAAAGGGUGCGUAGGCGGCGUAAUAAGUCAGAUGUGAAAUCCGGAGGCUCAACCUCCGAAUUGCAUCCGAAACUAUUAUGCUUGAGGGUUGUAGAGGAGCUUGGAAUUCUCGGUGUAGCAGUGAAAUGCGUAGAUAUCGAGAAGAACGCUCGCAGCGAAAGCGGGGCUCUGGGCAACUUCUGACGCUGAGGAGCGAAAGCGUGGGGAG
RNAcentral lists this ribosomal RNA (245 nucleotides) under uncultured Verrucomicrobium sp. Its description in RNAcentral is "partial 16S ribosomal RNA". It matches the Rfam family "Bacterial small subunit ribosomal RNA", at positions 524 to 768 of the family's 1533-position model. The record is from RNAcentral. Lineage: Bacteria; Pseudomonadati; Verrucomicrobiota; Verrucomicrobiia; Verrucomicrobiales; Verrucomicrobiaceae.